AGUGAACGCUGGCGGUAGGCCUAACACAUGCAAGUCGAACGGCAGCACAGUAAGAGCUUGCUCUUACGGGUGGCGGGUGGCGGACGGGUGAGGAAUACAUCGGAAUCUACUUUUUCGUGGGGGAUAACGUAGGGAAACUUACGCUAAUACCGCAUACGACCUACGGGUGAAAGCAGGGGAUCUUCGGACCUUGCGCGAUUGAAUGAGCCGAUGUCGGAUUAGCUAGUUGGCGGGGUAAAGGCCCACCAAGGCGACGAUCCGUAGCUGGUCUGAGAGGAUGAUCAGCCACACUGGAACUGAGACACGGUCCAGACUCCUACGGGAGGCAGCAGUGGGGAAUAUUGGACAAUGGGCGCAAGCCUGAUCCAGCCAUACCGCGUGGGUGAAGAAGGCCUUCGGGUUGUAAAACCCUUUUGUUGGGAAAGAAAAGCAGCAGGUUAAUACCCCGCUGUUCUGACGGUACCCAAAGAAUAAGCACCGGCUAACUUCGUG
RNAcentral lists this ribosomal RNA (492 nucleotides) under uncultured bacterium. RNAcentral describes it as "partial 16S ribosomal RNA". It matches the Rfam family "Bacterial small subunit ribosomal RNA", at positions 29 to 507 of the family's 1533-position model. The record is from RNAcentral.